AGUGAACGCUGGCGGUAGGCCUAACACAUGCAAGUCGAACGGCAGCACAGUAAGAGCUUGCUCUUACGGGUGGCGAGUGGCGGACGGGUGAGGAAUACAUCGGAAUCUACUUUUUCGUGGGGGAUAACGUAGGGAAACUUACGCUAAUACCGCGUACGACCUACGGGUGAAAGCAGGGGAUCUUCGGACCUUGCGCGAUUGAAUGAGCCGAUGUCGGAUUAGCUAGUUGGCGGGGUAAAGGCCCACCAAGGCGACGAUCCGUAGCUGGUCUGAGAGGAUGAUCAGCCACACUGGAACUGAGACACGGUCCAGACUCCUACGGGAGGCAGCAGUGGGGAAUAUUGGACAAUGGGCGCAAGCCUGAUCCAGCCAUACCGCGUGGGUGAAGAAGGCCUUCGGGUUGUAAAGCCCUUUUGUUGGGAAAGAAAAGCGGCAGGUUAAUACCCCGCUGUUCUGACGGUACCCAAAGAAUAAGCACCGGCUAACUUCGUG
This 492-nucleotide ribosomal RNA is filed under the name uncultured bacterium. Its description in RNAcentral is "partial 16S ribosomal RNA". It matches the Rfam family "Bacterial small subunit ribosomal RNA", at positions 29 to 507 of the family's 1533-position model. The record is from RNAcentral.